RNAcentral lists this ribosomal RNA (480 nucleotides) under uncultured bacterium. RNAcentral describes it as "bacterial SSU rRNA". It matches the Rfam family "Bacterial small subunit ribosomal RNA", at positions 30 to 514 of the family's 1533-position model. The record is from RNAcentral.
AUUGAACGCUGGCGGCAGGCCUAACACAUGCAAGUCGAGCGGGGUUUUCGGACCUAGCGGCGGACGGGUGAGUAAUGCGUAGGAAGCUACCCGACAGAGGGGGAUACCAGUUGGAAACGACUGUUAAUACCGCAUAAUGUCUACGGACCAAAGUGUGGGACCUUCGGGCCACAUGCUGUCGGAUGCGCCUACGUGGGAUUAGCUAGUUGGUGAGGUAAUGGCUCACCAAGGCGACGAUCCCUAGCUGGUUUGAGAGGAUGAUCAGCCACACUGGAACUGAGACACGGUCCAGACUCCUACGGGAGGCAGCAGUGGGGAAUAUUGGACAAUGGGCGGCAAGCCUGAUCCAGCCAUGCCGCGUGUGUGAAGAAGGUCUUCGGAUUGUAAAGCACUUUAAGUUGGGAGGAAGGGUAGUAACCUAAUACGUUGUCUACUUUGACGUUACCGACAGAAUAAGCACCGGCUAACUCGUGCCAGCAG